CCCUCCAGAGGGGGACAACAGUUGGAAACGACUGCUAAUACCGCAUACGAUCCAAUCUCGGCAUCGAGACUGGAUGAAAGGUGGCCUCUAUUUAUAAGCUAUCACUGAAGGAGGGGAUUGCGUCUGAUUAGCUGGUUGGAGGGGUAACGGCCCACCAAGGCGAUGAUCAGUAGCCGGUCUGAGAGGAUGAACGGCCACAUUGGGACUGAGACACGGCCCAG
Molecule: ribosomal RNA, 221 nt
Filed under: uncultured Veillonellaceae bacterium
Lineage: Bacteria; Bacillati; Bacillota; Negativicutes; Veillonellales; Veillonellaceae
Description: partial 16S ribosomal RNA
Rfam family: Bacterial small subunit ribosomal RNA
Source: RNAcentral